ACACAAUAUCUAUGUUGCCAGUUC
Molecule: non-coding RNA, 24 nt
Filed under: Arabidopsis thaliana (thale cress)
Lineage: Eukaryota; Viridiplantae; Streptophyta; Magnoliopsida; Brassicales; Brassicaceae
Source: RNAcentral